AAUAGAAAUUUCUAUCUUAGGCUUCAGUCGCAUGGUACUACUCAUUCAAUUAUGUGAGCUUUUGCUGUGUCAGACUAGAAUCUGAGUCCUGAAACCAGUGAGAAAACUUAAAACCUAUAGUAGUUUUCCUAGUUACUUAGGAGGUUUGGAAUAAUGGGUUGCCAUAAAGAACCCUUUAGUUUAUUGGUAACUGAGACAGUACAGGACUAACCAACAGAUUAUGACGUGUUCAGGGCACCAGCAAUGCAAGGGCACCUUUUCUUCUAAAAAUAACCAAGUUAAUUUUGACAUUUUUGUCCAGAACUUCACAUUCAAAAAUGUAAAAAAGAAUUCUUAAUUUUUUAAAUUUAUUUUUUAUCUUUAAAAAAAUUUUUAUUGAAGUAUAGUUGACACACACUGUUACAUUAGUUUCAGGUGUACAACACAGUGAUUUGACAAGUUUAUACAUUAUGCUGUGCUCACCAGAAAAGAAUUUGUAAUUUUGGCAUGCAUGGAAGUUUUGUGCCAUAAUGAAAUUUUGAAUUACCAGUGGAGUGGGAUGGGAGGACUCCAUAAUCUUUUCAAUGUUUAGAAUCUCCAAAGGGCACUAACUGUAAGAAGUCACACACUGUAUGUACAAAGUCAAAUAAAAAUUCUCUAACACCUCAUAUGUAAAUCAGAUAAUCUAAUUUUUGCAGGUGAAAUUGAGAUAAUGUUUUAGCAGCUGGCCAUAUGGCAACUUUACCUACCAAAGAAAUAUCUAUUGGAAUGAAGUCUAAAUGUGCCUCCAAGUUUGCUAUCUUGCUUCAUAUACCCAACCAUUUAUUCAACAGAUGCUUUCCAGAUACCAGGCACUGUGAUUCAAAUAUAAAAGUACUCAGUCCUCGAGCUCAAGGAGUUUUCAUUCUUGUGGGAGAGACAAAUAUUCAAAACAACAGUUAUAAUGUAUAACUGUAUAGUUAUGUAUGUAUGGUUAUGUAUGUAUGUAUGUAUGUAUGUAUGUAUGUAUAGUAAGAUACAUGCCAUUAUGAAGGUGUUAUGGAAACUAAUGCAUAGAAGCCCCUAUUUCUUACUGGUAUAGUAUAAUAAUAAUGUGCCAGGCAUUCAGAGUUUCAGAUUAGCUAAAGUCUAACUCUAAGUUGCCUGGAUUUAAGUCCCAUCCCUUCUCCUUUGUAAUUGUGUGGCCACAGACAAGUUAGGUAACUAGUGUGUGACUUGAUUUCAUCAUUUGUGAAGUGCAGAUAAUAAUUAUUGCUUCUUGCAUAAGGCUGAUACCAAG
RNAcentral lists this long non-coding RNA (1258 nucleotides) under Felis catus (domestic cat). RNAcentral describes it as "lncRNA (ENSFCAG00000042379.2)". Lineage: Eukaryota; Metazoa; Chordata; Mammalia; Carnivora; Felidae. The record is from RNAcentral.